Molecule: long non-coding RNA, 567 nt
Organism: Branchiostoma floridae (Florida lancelet)
Lineage: Eukaryota; Metazoa; Chordata; Leptocardii; Amphioxiformes; Branchiostomatidae
Exons: 3
Source: RefSeq, a predicted model, not a curated record
AUCUUUAAUGAUAAAAAUCACCGAACGAAUUUUAUUUUUUCUUCUUGUUCCUGGUGCAAAAAUGACGACAAAAAACAGGGCUACGUUUUGAUGUUAUCGGCAAGUUUCUAGCAUACACAAAGGCGAAGCGCCGAGCUGUUUUCCCCGACGAUCGCCCCGAUUUGGCCGAGCGGCGGCGCCGCGCGAUCCUGACGCGCCAAAUUUUGGGCCGCGUGCCCCUCAGAAACGGAGGAUAUGUGACUGAAGCGGCACAAAUAGAACCUUUUUUUGACGCUAUGGAUGAAGAAUUUCAAGCCAGGUUCCUACCGACCGGGUGAGGUUGUCGCAGUUGGUACUGAUGUUCAGUCGCAGAAGAUGGCUCAAAAACAGUGACACUUACCUCCUUCCAUCUUGUUGCAGGUGGAGUGUAGAUUGCACCAAGUACCAGAUGUAGCUGAUUUAAGACUGGAGAGCGGAGCGGAGAUAUUGAAUGGUAGAGGUCAAACAUAAUGUUGACAAGUUGUGCAACCAGUGCUUUUAGCAUUAAGUUUAUUAAAGAAUACUGUUGCUACCAGUAACCACAGAAAA